RNAcentral lists this long non-coding RNA (347 nucleotides) under Selaginella moellendorffii. RNAcentral's name for it is "long non-coding RNA (SMOE_LNC001110)". Lineage: Eukaryota; Viridiplantae; Streptophyta; Lycopodiopsida; Selaginellales; Selaginellaceae. The record is from RNAcentral.
CAGGCUCUUCAAAUUCUGGGGUUGUUGCCUCAGCAAACUCCCUCAAAGCUUGAAUGGCAUUCUCCUGCAUCACAGCAAGCUGUUUGUCAACAUCAAGGUCUGCUGGAAAACCACUCAUAGAAGGUCAAGUGGAGUGUAACAUGUAGAAAUGAAGCAGCCCUGCGUAGAAAAUUGAUCCCACAAGUACAAGGGCUUGUACUUGCCAUGCUAGCGGUAGAGCCGCAAAGGCCAAACUAAAAGAACCCCCAUGGAAAUCACGAUGAACGCGAACACUCCAACCCCAUCAUACCAGGAAAGGAGUGAAAAGUCCACAGCAUAGCAGCGGAAGCACCACCCAUUGAUUUGUG